Molecule: ribosomal RNA, 253 nt
Filed under: uncultured bacterium
Lineage: Bacteria
Description: partial 16S ribosomal RNA
Rfam family: Bacterial small subunit ribosomal RNA
Source: RNAcentral
UACAGAGGUCCCGAGCGUUGUUCGGAUUCAUUGGGCGUAAAGGGUGCGUAGGCGGCGGGGAAAGUCUGAUGUGAAAUCCUGGGGCUCAACCCUGGAACUGCAUUGGAUACUUCCUUGCUAGAGUACAGGAGAGGAAACUGGAAUUUACGGUGUAGCAGUGAAAUGCGUAGAGAUCGUAAGGAAGACCAGUGGCGAAGGCGAGUUUCUGGACAGUUACUGACGCUGAGGCACGAAGGCCAGGGGAGCAAACGGG